Non-coding RNA from Heterocephalus glaber (naked mole-rat), 457 nucleotides. Lineage: Eukaryota; Metazoa; Chordata; Mammalia; Rodentia; Bathyergidae. The record is from RefSeq and is a predicted model, not a curated record.
AAGCAUCUGAAGAGAACCUGCCUCACUAGAGCUGCCCAACUGUCCACAGCUGUCCUGUCCCUCAUGCAGCUCUUCCUCUUUCACCUCAAGGUCAGCUGGGAGGGAGAAAGCGAAGCCAGCUGUGCAAGGGCCAGGAUGGGGGAAGCAGUGCAGAGGAUGGGAUUGAGACCCACAAGGCAUUGGACACCAUAGAUGUCUCAACAGAGUGUGAAGCCAAGGGAAGAACAGCACUGUUGCUGUGUGCUGGUGCUGCUGCCAACAGCACCCAGACCUUCACAGCCAACCCUCCACAGCACACCUCAGACUCUGAACUAACCUGAAUUUGACACUUUCACGGGACAGUUUCCAAGGAAUCCCCCACCUCAAGAGAAGAUGUGGACCUCAACUCAGCCUCGGCAGACAGACACUUCCUACAAGACUAACAUGCCUAUAUGAGAGAUGAAAAUCAAUCUGACCC